CGACAGACCCAGCAAUGGAGCUGUGGGACGCGUCUCCGAAUAAAUUCCCUAAAACACAUGCCCCCUCGCCUCCCGCCCCAACGCCCACAGGGUGUCUGGAGUAGAAAGCUACAACUUAGUUUUCACUACUGAAACUUGGUGGGACGAAUCCAUGACUGGAGUCAUGAGAUGGCAUUGCAGGGAGGCUGGACAGCAGCAGAGGUCCUCAGUGGAGCAGAGAUCCACCUGCAGCCUGUGGAGGAGACACACACCAGAGCAGGUGAAUGCCCUAUGGCCGCUUUGGGAAGCCUGCACUGGAGCUGGCUACUGGCAGGACCUGUGGCUCUCUGAAGAGAGGAGCCCACGCUGGAGCUGAUUUGCUGGCAAGGCUUGUGACUCUGUGGGGAACCCACACUGGAGCAGCCUGUUCCUGAAGGACUGCAAUCACUGGGAGGGACCGAUACGCUGGAGCAAGGGAAGAGUGUGAGGAAGAAGGAGAAGCAGAGACAGAGUGUGAUGAACUGACCACAGCCUCCCUUCCCCUGCACUGCUCAGGGGGUAGGAGUUAAAGAAUUUGGGACGAAAGCAAAGCCCAAGAAGAAGGGAGGGGUGGAGGAAGGUGAGUUUUUCUCUUUUAGUUCUCAUUAUUGUACUCUGAUUUGAAUGUUAAUAAACUACGUUUCCCCAA
This is a long non-coding RNA of Pseudopipra pipra, 667 nucleotides long. RefSeq lists it as uncharacterized. The transcript is spliced from 3 exons. The record is from RefSeq and is a predicted model, not a curated record. NCBI's taxonomy places the organism in Eukaryota, Metazoa, Chordata, Aves, Passeriformes, Pipridae.